AUCGUAACUCCUACGGGAGGCAGCAGUGGGGAAUUUUGGACAGUGGGGGCAAUCCUGAUCCAGCAAUGCCGCGUGAGUGAAGAAGGCCUUCGGGUUGUAAAGCUCUUUUGUCAGGGAAGAAACGGUAGUAGCUAAUAUCUAUUACUAAUGACGGUACCUGAAGAAUAAGCACCGGCGAACUACGUGCCAGCAGCCGCGGUAAUACGUAGGGUGCAAGCGUUAAUCGGAAUUACUGGGCGUAAAGCGUGCGCAGGCGGUUGAGUAAGUCAGAUGUGAAAUCACCGGGCUCAACCUGGGAAUUGCAUUUGAGACUGCACGGCUAGAGUGUGUCAGGGGGGGGUAGAAUUCCACGUGUAGCAGUGAAAUGCGUAGAUAUGUGGAGGAAUACCGGUGGCGAAGGCAGCCCCCUGGGAUAACACUGACGCUCAUGCACGAAAGCGUGGGGAGCAAACAGGAUUAGAAACCCUGGUAGUCCUAGAGC
RNAcentral lists this ribosomal RNA (481 nucleotides) under uncultured bacterium. RNAcentral describes it as "bacterial SSU rRNA". It matches the Rfam family "Bacterial small subunit ribosomal RNA", at positions 329 to 802 of the family's 1533-position model. The record is from RNAcentral.